RNAcentral lists this ribosomal RNA (549 nucleotides) under Triticum aestivum (bread wheat). RNAcentral's name for it is "partial small subunit ribosomal RNA". The record is from RNAcentral. Lineage: Eukaryota; Viridiplantae; Streptophyta; Magnoliopsida; Poales; Poaceae.
AUGUUUGCAUCUUUCCCACUUCAGACCAUCCCUUGGCCUUCUACGAAUCCGCGCAUACAAAUUCAACUCUUCGCUGACCCGAUGGUUGGCGCAGUGGCGCUGCAUCAUCCAAGCUUGCAGACCCCUGCCGCCACCGGAUUCAACAGCGAGCAGCUGCGACGACCCUGCCAUCGAUGGAUUCGAUGGCGAGGAGCUGCGCCCAGCACCCUCUGCAACCUAGCUCCAUCGCCCUUCUCGUGUACCAUCUUCAAAUCUGCUGCUGGGAGCCCGGGAGGACGGGACACAUCUGCACACAUCUGCAGCCGUCAACGUCGCAUGCCCUCUUCUCUGUCCCAGUUUCAGCAUUUUUUUAGUCUAUGUCGACAAGGUAUUCGAUCACAACCCAAGCAAGUCGCAGGUCUGUAUGUUUUUGCAGAAAUUUUUAAUCUACGUCAAAAGGAUAUUUUUCUAUUUGAUCACUCACCACCUCCUCUUACUUUAGUUACAGGUCACACAUGUGUUACACAGUCUCAUUGUCGACAAGAUAUUUUACAGGCUCCUAGCAAAUGA